Molecule: long non-coding RNA, 1260 nt
Organism: Athene cunicularia (burrowing owl)
Lineage: Eukaryota; Metazoa; Chordata; Aves; Strigiformes; Strigidae
Exons: 3
Source: RefSeq, a predicted model, not a curated record
AGAUUUUCUGUCAAGUCAUUUCAAAUUAAAUUGGCAGCCUUGCAAUGUUCAGCCCAUAUGAGUUUUUGUGUGGCAUAUAUUGUUAAUGUUAAACCAAUUCUCACAUAAGAUCAACAGAAUUUACAGAGGCAACGUUUGCAUCAGUUACUGUUUUUAAAGUCUGGGCCUUUAUGAGCUACUGAAAAAUGCCUUUUCCAGAGCAAAAUUUAACUUUGGGCUGAAUUAUUCAUGUGUAAAUUCAGGCAAUUUAUUUGUGAAAUUAUUUGUAAAUAAUUACACUUUUCUAUACAGUGUAAUAAUGAAAUUAGUACCAGCCUAGGAGUGAACCGAAUGACUUUGUUAGCAAUUAGUGUGACUCCACUCCCACUCCCUCAGGCUGACUCCCACUGAAAGGGUGCAGAAUUUGCCCCUGAGAACUCCAUUUAUUUUUGAUACUUCCAGGACUUUCCUUUUUUAAAAUGUAACAUUUAUGUGAUAUUUUAGUCCUUCUAGUGUCUGAAAAUUUAAAAAGCGGAUGAUACUUGAAGAUAAAUUGCUAUCAUCAUGCAGGAAGUUUUUUCCUUAAGAUUUUCCCAUAUUUUUCUUUCAGGGCUCAGCCUGAAAAAACCCACACUAGUAUCCUCUUUCUGUGAGUACUGAUGGAUUAUUCUGGGGGAGACUGGGGCCCAUAACCUCAAAAGUAGGAUUCUGGAAACUUACUGCUGAAGAGGAUUCAGAGUGGCUUAGGAGCAGAAAAUAUCUUCUCUUACCUGCUGCCUGUUGAGAAGUGACCCUGCUGUAACUCCUUUCUUGCUGCUACUCCUAAUAUAUCCACGAGGGAGAGGAAACCUUUGCUACAAGCCCUUCAGCAGAGAGCGGAUCCAGGGGGACUCGGUUACAUGGUGCGUUCUGGGGCCCAGUUUAACUUCACUGCAUCUUUCCAGCAGUCCCAGAACUCUUCAAAAAUGUGGGUGGAGAUCCAUUACACAUGCUUACUAUGGUUACUCGCCAUGAAAAACAGUAUGAACAGCCAACACAGACUCCAGGUGGUGGAUCAGCAUUAAUCAUAAUAGACUCAGGGGCAGGGGAUUGGCAAGGUACCACAAGAAAUGGUUGUACAUCUAUACCCUUGAACUCCAUUUCCUCCCACAGCGGACAGCGUUAUGGAGAUCGAUGGUAAAUUCUUCAGGGAGCAGCAGCAUCAUUUUGUUCUGAAUUGUGUCCAUGCUUGGUCUGCGGCUGUGCCUCCUGGGCUCAAAGACGUUAUAAUGAUACAGAUGG